RNAcentral lists this ribosomal RNA (443 nucleotides) under uncultured bacterium. RNAcentral describes it as "partial 16S ribosomal RNA". It matches the Rfam family "Bacterial small subunit ribosomal RNA", at positions 338 to 795 of the family's 1533-position model. The record is from RNAcentral.
CCUACGGGCGGCAGCAGUGGGGAAUAUUGGGCAAUGGGCGCAAGCCUGACCCAGCAACGCCGCGUGAAGGAAGAAGGCUUUCGGGUUGUAAACUUCUUUUAUUAGGGACGAAGCAUGUGACGGUACCUGAUGAAUAAGCCACGGCUAACUAAGUGCCAGGAGCCGCGGUAAUACGGAGGGGGCAAGCGUUCUCCGGAUUUACUGGGUGUACAGGGCGUGUAGGCGGGAGUGCAAGUCAGAUGUGAAAACUAUGGGCUCAACCCAUAGACUGCAUUUGAGACUGUAAUUCUGGAGUGCUGGAGAGGCAAGCGGAAUUCCGGGUGUAGCGGUGAAAUGCGUAGAUAUACGGAGGAACACCAGUGGCGAAGGCAGAUUGCUGAACAGUAACUGACGCUGAGGCGCGAAAGCGUGGGGAGCAAACAGGAUUAGAUACCCGAGUAGUC